Molecule: long non-coding RNA, 5662 nt
Filed under: Salmo salar (Atlantic salmon)
Lineage: Eukaryota; Metazoa; Chordata; Actinopteri; Salmoniformes; Salmonidae
Description: lncRNA (ENSSSAG00000092997.1)
Source: RNAcentral
GGAGCAUUUCCGGUUUCAGAAGAUCAACAUAAAAGCCUUAAAGACAGCCGUGGUGUCGCUCUUCAAUUCUUGGUUCUCCUGUGGUGCAUAAGAAACCCGCUACAUGCAGUGGAAACAACCUGGAGCUGAACACAAAGAUAAGAAAGGACAUGAUAGAGGAUUUUAGGAAGCAGGAGAUAAUCACAUUGCUGUCGUGGAGCUGGUGGACUGGCAUAAACAUCUCUCCUGACAUGGUCAGCCAACACAAACCCACUGGGUGGGGGUACAGGUCCGUUGGGCAGGCAGAGGUAUAGGACCUUUAGAUAUAGAGUAAAGGGGAUAUUCUGUAAGGCUAUCACUUUGUAGAUCCAAGACCAAGAAAACACAUUCCCCUCAGGAUCAAUAGAGCACCAGCAUGUCCUGCAGCACUGGAGUGUGUUUUAAACUAUGUGCCUUUUACUUUGCAGUACUUAAAGCUAAUUUAAUAUUUAGCAUGUAUUACCAAAAUGACCAAAAGAUAAACAGACUUUUCAGUAUAGAAUGAAUGUAAGCAAUGCAUGAUGGCUAAUGGUGUUUUAUUCGGUUGUAGUUCCAUGUAUUUCUUACAAAAAAAAAACAGUGUAAACCAUUUUUAUUGACCAGAAUGUAACUGAAAAUACAAUAGCAGCCUUGCCAUUGUCCAUCAAUACCAAAACAUGUUUUUUUUUUCGUAUAACAUUUUGGGAAAUGUAUGUUGUCAUUGUAGUCUUACAUUUUGUUGGCCAACCAAAAUGACCAAAACGUUAACCCGUAAUAAGGCUAGGGUGGAAUUGUACUAUGAGCUGGCUGAGUGUAAAUACAUGGCUCUGAGUGUAAACCUUUUCACUAGAAACCUAGUUGUGUUCAAAUUACCGUCUGUGCGAAAUAGCUAGAAAGCUUUCGUAUUUCAACUUGGCUACACUUACGGUUAUGAAAACGAUAAAUGACGUGCAAUACCUGCGUCGAUCUGUGACGAGCAGCAAAACCCCGGAAAGCUUCUAGCCUACCGGAAAGUUACUAGAAGAACAUUUUUACAUUUUUUUAAAACAUUUUAGUCAUUUAGCAGACGCUCUUAUCCAGAGCGACUUACAGUAGUGAAUGCAUACAUUUCAUACAUUUUUCCCCGUACUGAACAAGAAUUGUUACUUCAUCCGGUUAUGUGACAUUUGUUGUUUAUAGAUUUUUCUCCCACACCAGAUGUCUGGACCCUGGACAGAUAACAGAUGGUAUGGCCUCUGAGGACCCCCAAGACCAACUGGAUGAGGCUAUUAAAAAGGCAGAACGCCUUGCUGAGGAGCUCAACCAAGAGAAGGACCCACAAGCCCAACUGGACGAGGCCAUUAACGAGGCAAAAAGGCUGGCUGAGGAGCUCAACCCAGAACGGGAAAAUAAGAAAAAGACAAACAAGCCUCCAGGGAUUAGGUUCAGAUGGAGACAAAGGGAUGAGAGAGGACAGAUUGUUCCUCAAACCAGGAAGGCAACUACAUCCACUUCCCUUGCUCCAAGGGCCAGUACAUCAAGAGCCAGACUAGUGCAACCUUCUGGGCCAGUCACUGAGGAGGAAGAAUCAGAGACAAGGACCAGUGGAUUGGAAUCCACUCCAGUUUUAAACAUUGAUGAAGAAAUAGGUCUCUACAAUGUUACAGUGCCUGUGCUGACCUGCACAACCUGUCUUUGCACCUGGACAGCAAACUUGGCAGAUCUGAUAAAGAAUGGGUUCUGGCCUGCCACUGUCAACUGUGACACCAUAUACCAGGUAGAUGUGUUCAGCUCUUUUGAGGAGCUGAAAGUGUCAGCCCCAGGAAUGUCCCGUCUAGCGUUUAUACGGAUUUUGGAGCAGCGAACUGACUUCUUUGGCAGGGUAACAAUAAAUUAUACUGAGCUUUACCAAUGUAUGACUUCAGGUUAACUAUGUUACAUUUUGUUACAACACUUUGUGUAACAUAACUUUAUUUCCAGUACUACAACUACAUUAAAACUUCAGGUCUCUUGCUACAGGAUGUGUUAGCCUCCUGCACCACUGUCCUGCCAUGCCCCUUAUCUGUGCCCCUUAUCUGUGCCCCUUAUCUGUGCCCCUCUUGCAUCCAAUAUUUCCUGCUCUUUACAACAUAAGUACUCGUCCUACUUUUGCAUUGGCUUUCACCUGCCUUGCUGUCAACACUAUGUACUGGCCCUGCUUUAACUCAAAUCCAGUCAGCCAUAGUGAAUUAUAGUAUGUUUUGUUUAUACUAUUGUUGUAAGUUAUUUCAUAUAUGUUCUAUAUGUAUUUUUCCCUUACCAGAAUGGAAUGAUCUGUGGGGACACUUUCCAAAAAAGCUUCUUUGAGUGGACGUACUGCCGCUCUGAAAUUGAACAGGUCUGUGAUAUACAGUACUUUGACUGCCCAGCCUGUUCACCCAGCAUGCUUGCAGUGUCAGUGGACGGGAACAAGAAGCUGUAUCGAUUCAAAAAAGGCUAUGUAAAACUAUUCAUAAUUUAUUAAAUAACACCGUACUCUAUAUCAUUUAAACAAUCCAAACAAGGUUUGCCUUUUCUUUGUCCAGUGUGAACGUUUUCAAAUGCAGUUGAGUUCAUUUUAGCUUAAAUGUUUUGCGUUUGUAAUGAAAUUAAUUAUCAACAUUGUCAAGUGUCCACAAUCAGUUACUGAGGUUGAUUGCUAUUUCAUAUGUAAUAUAUUUAAUGUAUUUCACGUAUCCUUUCAAGGACUGAUGACAAAGGAUUCUUUGAUGGCGUGUUUAUCUGCAAGGACGAGGAUGUCUGACUUUGUGAACUAUGUCCAUACAAAGACUAAACAUUUACGUUUCCUGUGUAUCUUCUAAUCUGUGAAAUAGGACUGGCCUCGGGCCAUCUGACUCAAAGGCAGACUCGUUAUACACUAUUCCAAUAAAAACAUAUCAUUUUGGAGAUGGUAAUCCUCUCUCUUCAAGUCCAUUUGUCGUUACACUACUCCCUCUGUUCAGAAAUGCAACACACUUUACAAGUGCUUCUUUUUGAUAGUCGAUCUCCAUUGUAGCGAACAUAGGGGGUAGCUCAGCGCCCUCGGCUAGAUUUUAAAAACCUAACCACUGUCCCGUUAACACUCCCCCCCCAAAACAUUUUUUCUACCUAUACUCUUCUACUUCCUUGUCUAGGGUUAUGGAAAAGGGGUAUGUGGAGCAUCCCAGUGGACAGCAGCUAAAGAGUCAAGGAAAACAAACGACAACUUGAUGAAGAGGGACUCGAAGUUGCCGUCUGCCGCCACGGAAUACUUCUAAGGAGCCUCAACAUGAUGCGUGGAGAGAUAUUUGCGUACCCACUGUUCUUGCAGAAGGAAUUGUCUGGCAGCAGGAACAUACAAUUCAUGUGUACAGAUGUGAUCUGCAAAUUUUGGCCAUACCUGACCAAAGUUGCCCUUCAUUGUCCAGAGCUCGCCACUCUUCUAGACAUGAAGCCACUUCUUUCCGUCAUGCAUGCAAAGGCACAUCGUUUGAAAUGCGAGGUAAGUUUUUCUUUAUUAAACUGUUCUAAGAGAAUUUCCAGCUUCAGUCCUUUACAAGGCUUCCCAUGUAGAUGUUUGUUAUUCACAUAAUUGCAAUAUUAAGUCAAUAUAUUUUUUUAUGUAAAUUAAGAUUAAGUGGGGAGGACGGAAUCAGGAAGGAGCUGACACAACUCUGGGGGAGGAAGUGGAACAAGGGAACAGCUUCUUGUCGAGGGCUGCAAUCUGUUCCAAGCAAAUGUCCAAAGGACAUUUUAAGGUUGUUCUAUUCAGCUAUGUUAAUACUUAUCUGGAAUAAGGACUUCUAUUUGGCUUUUCUAGCAAGAACAGACAUGCUAACCAUCCAGGCCAUGGGGUGGAACAGAAGGAAGAAGAACAACCUGCACAGAGUAUUGUCCAGAAGAUACUUGAAGACAACAGCAAAAAUCCAGGAGGAGACCCAGACUCUUGAAAAGUUUAAGAGUGAUUUGGGUGUAGGCGAUGAGACUCUGUACAACUGGACAACGGAAGUUCAGCAAUGGGCUAAUACAGAGGAAACAAAUGAGAACAUGGAUGGUCCCCAGGUACUACAGAGAACAAUUGAAGUCCUGUUUCUGAGCAUCAAAGGAAACAGAACCUCUACCGUCAGACAGAUGGAUGCAAGAAAAGACACCCUCUGCGCAGAAAGAUAUUAGAAGAAUAGGCCAAAUUGACAGCUGCCAUAGAGGAGUACAACACCCUUGUACCAGAUGAGAUCCUUUCCGCAGACCUUCGUACCUGGCCUUGGGAGCUGCAUGGACAAACUGACCUACUCACAAAGAAAAUAGCCUUUGACCGGGUGAUGCUCCUGAGACGGCUGAAGGAGGAAGAGUUAAUUGUCCUAAAGGAAGUCAAGCAGCACUGGGAAAGCCUAAAGAGGGAAUCGGAGAAUGUGCAAGGCCUUGCUUCACAUGUGGCACCUGACCUAAGCAGGCAAAGCUGGCAAUUGAAUCAGUCGGAAGCUGGGAGCAGAGGUCUCUUCUCCAUGCUUCAGAGGAGAGUCAGCAGCCUCGAAAGACACCAGGACUCUGUCAAACUGAUAUACAGCAAGCUAUGGGCCAAGACACCUCCCUCCUAGAAAAUAACUUCAUAGAUGACCUCCUGGAAGAGGACCUAGAUGACAUCUAUGACAGCAUCCACUACAGCUUUGAUGACGAGGAAUCUAUCACAGACUGAAGGUGUUCGUUUGGGUGGGUGCAGUUUGCACUGGUUGAAAAGUGAUUCCAUUUGUUUUGCAUAUGUGCUUUAUCUGCCUUCCUAAGGAAAAAUAGUUUGAACAUUUUAUGAAAAAAAAACUUUUGUUUCUUCCUUGUUGACAAUGUGAUCAUGUGGCACAGAUUUGAGAAGGGCGCUCGUCUAUUACUGCUUUUGCCCGGUUACAUGACCAGGUCCGAUGCACCCCUUUAAAUGGCCAAUCUGCAGUUGCUACAUCCACUUUUGGAUUCUUGAAGAAUAUAAUUUAUAAAUGCCUCAUGAACAUAGUUCAACUGCCGUACCCCAUCAGAUCCCAAAAUAUAUAUUUUUAUCUACUCCAAUGUUUGUAAACAAAGUAAAUGUAAACUUACACUAGCAUGUGUCAAACUCAUUCCACGGGUGAGCCGAGUGUCUGCGGGUUUUUGCUCCUCAAAUGAUUGAUGAAUUAAGGUCACUAAUUAGUAAGGAACUCCCCUCACCUGGUUGCCUAGGAAAAACCUCAAACCAGCAGACACUAGGCUCUCCAUGGAAUGAGAUUGACACCACUGGACUAUAGCCUGGAAACAUGGUUUAAACUAUGGUUCCAUUUCUCCAGCCCCAUCCCUCUGCUUUUAACAGAACCACUGGACUAUAGCCUGGAAACAUGGUUUAAACUAUGGUUCCAUUUCUCCAGCCCCAUCCCUCUGCUUUUUACAGAACCACUGGACUAUAGCCUGGAAACAUGGUUUAAACUAUGGUUCCAUUUCUCCAGCCCCAUCCCUCUGCUUUUUACAGAACCACUGGACUAUAGCCUGGAAACAUGGUUUAAACUAUGGUUCCAUUUCUCCAGCCCCAUCCCUCUGCUUUUUACAGAACCAUUGGCAGGGAGAACGAUGUAUUGUUUCACCUGGUGAUUUCCGAUUUAAACAUUGUUAAACUGUAAUGUACUGUGCUUAUGUGUGCUUAUUAGUUUAGUUAAUAAAAAACUAAAAAAGGUCA